RNAcentral lists this ribosomal RNA (253 nucleotides) under uncultured bacterium. RNAcentral describes it as "partial 16S ribosomal RNA". It matches the Rfam family "Bacterial small subunit ribosomal RNA", at positions 524 to 776 of the family's 1533-position model. The record is from RNAcentral.
UACGGGGGGGGCAAGCGUUGUUCGGAAUUAUUGGGCGUAAAGAGCGUGUAGGCGGCCAGAUAAGUCCGCUGUGAAAUCUCGAGGCUCAACUUCGAGCUGUCGGUGGAAACUAUCUGGCUAGAGUCCGGAAGAGGAGAAUGGAAUUCCUGGUGUAGCGGUGAAAUGCGCAGAUAUCAGGAAGAACACCCGUGGCGAAGGCGGUUCUCCGGGACGGUACUGACGCUGAGACGCGAAAGCGUGGGGAGCGAACAGG